This 2663-nucleotide ribosomal RNA is filed under the name Stichopathes luetkeni (black sea whip). RNAcentral's name for it is "Stichopathes lutkeni (black sea whip) 16S ribosomal RNA". It matches the Rfam family "Bacterial large subunit ribosomal RNA". The record is from RNAcentral. Lineage: Eukaryota; Metazoa; Cnidaria; Anthozoa; Antipatharia; Antipathidae.
UUUAUUUUAAUAUAAAAAAGGGACGAAUGGAUAACUAGGAUGGACUAAAAUAGGACGGAAAAUCCGAAAAGACGAAGAAGAGACUUAGAAAUCGUUUAUCCUAGCGGAAAUGCAGUAAAAAGAACUGGGAAGUGAAACAUCUUAGUACCAGAGCCGGCGCAUAAGAAAUUUCUUAAGGGUCUGUGGCACAGAGAAAUCAAACGAGAUUCCGUAAGUAGCGGCGAGCGAAAGUGGAUUAGUCCAAUGACUUAUUUUGAAGCGAGUAAAUAGUGGAAAAUAGGUGCUCACACAUCUAAGACUAAAUGUUAGUUUCCAUACCGAAAGAGAGAGUACUGUAAAGGAAAGUUGAAAGAGAUUUUAAAAGAUCUUGAAAUGAGUCCCUUAGAGCAGUUGUGAUACAACGUACCUUUUGUAUAAUGGGUUCACAAGAUAAAAUUUGGCAAACUUAAGUUUAGAUCAUGAUCAUGACUAAAGUCUAAAUUGAUUUUAAGAAAUGAAGGUGAAGUGAAAUCAAGGGUAAAGUCUCUUUAGUCAAAUUUCCCGAAACCAAGUGAUCUAACCAUGGACAGUUCAAAGGAGCGAACCGGUGGUUGUAGCAAAAACCUCGGAUGAUCUGUGGUUAGGGGUUAAAGACCAAUCGAACUUGGAAAUAGCUGGUUUUCUGCGAAAACUAUUGAAGUAGUGCGCUCACAAAAAUAGAGCCCUUAUCGAAAAAAUUUUUAUCAAGAUAUAGGGGGUUGUUUUUUCAUGGUAAAGUUCGAUUGCUCAAAAAUUGAGGGAUUAACUAUGAAUAUAAAAAAAUUAAAGUGAGCAGACAGACAGUAGGCGAUAAGGUCAAUUGUCAAAAGGGCAAGCCCUAAUCAGAAGUUAAAGUCAUAGAUUAAUUUUAGAUCCAAAAGGAUAAAAAUAGUCAAGUGAAAAAGAGAUAUUGAAUUUAGACAAUGAGGAAGUAGGCUUGGAGCCAGCCACCUUUGAAAGAUGACGUAGUAGUUCACUCAAAAAAUUCUCCUAUCUCUAAAAUUAGGGUGGCUAAAUUUAAACUGAAACUCUGAAAGCGAAGUUUCGCUUGGUAGCAGAACGUACUGUGAAAUGGUUCAGUGAGAACCUUAAGUAUCAGAAAUGAUAAUGUGAACAUGAGUAAAAGAUCGUCGGAUCACUUCCCUAGGUUUCCAGGCCUGAGGGCUUGGGUUAUACAGUCCCUAAGACGGCAGCCCAAAGGUUGCAUCGAUGGGCCAUAGUAAUAGACGCACUUAGUGCCAGGAAAAAAUUACUAAAUAUUUGACCCUCUUAAUUUCAUCUUCAUAGGAGAAAAAUGAUAUGGGAGUUGUUAAAAGUUGCACUGUACUAACCUAACACAAGUGGGGGAUAGUGAGGGGGAAAGUUUUCUUAAGGAACUCGGCAAAAAAUUUGAUCUUCCCAUUAGGGGGUUUAUACUAUAGGGCCUCGACUGUUUACCAAAAACAUAGCUCUCUGCUAAUAUGAGAAAUAGAAGUAUGGAGGGUGAGGCCUGCCCAAUGGUUGUAUCUAAAAGGGUCGGUAAGAGCCGACCUCAUAAAGACAAUUGAAUGGCCGCGGUAACACUGACCGUGAUAAUGUAGCGUAAUCAAUAGCCAAUUAAUUGUUGGCCGGUAUGAAUGGCGUCACGAAGGCCCCACUGUCUUAAGAAAAUUCCCAGUGAAAUUGAAAUCGUAGUGAAGAUGCUACGUCCAAAUUGUUAGACGAAGAGACCCCAUUGAGCUUUACUGGAAACUUAUAUGGCUGAAAUAUAUUUUUGCUCAUAAAGACUAAUCUCAAAAAGAUUUAUUAAAAGUGAGGAAAAUUAAAACUUAAAUAAAUAGCUAAAAUUAUGUGGUGAAAAAUAUUUUUAUCGAAGUUUUGUUUUUCGAUUCUUUUUCUCUAAGAGAAAAAAUCUUAAUUCAAAUACUCCGUAGACUAAUGGAAACCACUCUUUUAUUUUAAGAGAGCUAACUCUUUUUCAUGAUUUAUAUCUAAUGAUGGGAGGAAUAAUGUAAGUUGGACAGUUUGGUUGGGGCGACCGCCUUUUAAAAAGUAACGAAGGUGAGCUUAAGGUGCAUAAAUAAUAUCAGCAGCCUGACUGCAAGGGAGACGUUCCGAGCAGACACUUGUUCUCGUCAAGAAGCCAUUGUUUGAUCUAAGCUUGGGGGUUCCCAUAAAGACUUAGAAAAAAACAAGUUCUUGGAGCGGAAGAAAGUGGGCUAUAAUGACCCGUUAAUUUAGAGUGAGAAUAGUUAACGAUCAACGGAUAAAAGCUACCAUGGGGAUAACAGCGUAAUAUCGUUUGAGAGCUUUCAUCGACGACGAUGUUUGCGACCUCGAUGUUGAAUUGCAGCAUCCUGGGGUGCAGUCGCUCCCAAGGGUUGGUCUGUUCGUCCAUUAAGGCUGUACAUGAUUUGAGUUAAAAGCGUGGUAACACAGCUUGGUUUCUAUCUACAAUUUGAAGAAACAUCAAUAUAAUUAUUUUCUAGUACGAAAGGACCGAAAAAUUAAUGAUCCUCUUAUUUUCUAUAAGUUACGAUCAAUUUAAAUCCUUUUGGAUCCGAGCCUCAUAGAAAAAUUGGGGCUUUCUCAGUUAAUCACUGACUGCCUCUAAAGUGUGAAAAAUAUAUUGAUUUGUUUGGAUUUUAGAAAAAUAUAUAUGUUUU